AACGUAGGAGACAAACGUUAUCCGGAGUUACUGGGCGUAAAGGGCGUGCAGGUGGUCUGUUAAGUCUGGCGUGAAAGCUCCUGGCUAAACCGGGAGAGGUCGUUGGAUACUGGCGGACUAGAGGACGGUAGAGGCGUGUGGAAUUCCGGGUGUAGUGGUGAAAUGCGUAGAUAUCUGGAGGAACACCGGUGGCGAAGGCGGCGUUCUGGACUGCAACUGACACUGAUGAACGAAAGCCAGGGGAGCAAACGGG
Molecule: ribosomal RNA, 253 nt
Filed under: uncultured bacterium
Lineage: Bacteria
Description: partial 16S ribosomal RNA
Rfam family: Bacterial small subunit ribosomal RNA
Source: RNAcentral